GACGAACGCUGGCGGCGCGCCUAACACAUGCAAGUCGAACGAGAGAUGAGGAGCUUGCUCUUCAAAUCGAGUGGCGAACGGGUGAGUAACGCGUGAGGAACCUGCCUCAAAGAGGGGGACAACAGUUGGAAACGACUGCUAAUACCGCAUAAGCCCACAGCUCGGCAUCGAGCAGAGGGAAAAGGAGCAAUCCGCUUUGAGAUGGCCUCGCGUCCGAUUAGCUAGUUGGUGAGGUAACGGCCCACCAAGGCGACGAUCGGUAGCCGGACUGAGAGGUUGAACGGCCACAUUGGGACUGAGACACGGCCCAGACUCCUACGGGAGGCAGCAGUGGGGAAUAUUGCACAAUGGGGGAAACCCUGAUGCAGCGACGCCGCGUGGAGGAAGAAGGUCUUCGGAUUGUAAACUCCUGU
Molecule: ribosomal RNA, 413 nt
Filed under: uncultured bacterium
Lineage: Bacteria
Description: bacterial SSU rRNA
Rfam family: Bacterial small subunit ribosomal RNA
Source: RNAcentral